UCCUAGUUAAUCUAGGCAGUCUCGUUAGAGUUCCCGCCAUUACGCGUUGGCAACUAACGAUAAGGGUUGCGCUCGUUGCUGGACUUAACCAAACACCUCACGGCACGAGCUGACGACAGCCAUGCAGCACCUAUAUAGAGACCCUUUCGGGAGAUGUCAUUUCUGACAUCGUCCUCUACAUUUCGAGCCCAGGUAAGGUUCUUCGCGUUGCAUCGAAUUAAACCACAUGCUCCACUGCUUGUGCGGGCCCCCGUCAAUUCUUUUGAGUUUCACCCUUGCGAGCGUACUCCCCAGGCGGCAUACUUAAUGCGUUAGCUCCGGAACAGAGGGGGUUGAGCCCUCCUACUCCUAGUAUGCAUCGUUUAAGGCAAGGACUAC
Molecule: unclassified non-coding RNA, 378 nt
Filed under: uncultured Chlamydiales bacterium
Lineage: Bacteria; Pseudomonadati; Chlamydiota; Chlamydiia; Chlamydiales
Description: contains 16S-23S intergenic spacer region
Source: RNAcentral